RNAcentral lists this ribosomal RNA (221 nucleotides) under Haemophilus influenzae. Its description in RNAcentral is "partial 16S ribosomal RNA". It matches the Rfam family "Bacterial small subunit ribosomal RNA", at positions 1317 to 1533 of the family's 1533-position model. Lineage: Bacteria; Pseudomonadati; Pseudomonadota; Gammaproteobacteria; Pasteurellales; Pasteurellaceae. The record is from RNAcentral.
UCCAUGAAGUCGGAAUCGCUAGUAAUCGCGAAUCAGAAUGUCGCGGUGAAUACGUUCCCGGGCCUUGUACACACCGCCCGUCACACCAUGGGAGUGGGUUGUACCAGAAGUAGAUAGCUUAACCUUUUGGAGGGCGUUUACCACGGUAUGAUUCAUGACUGGGGUGAAGUCGUAACAAGGUAACCGUAGGGGAACCUGCGGUUGGAUCACCUCCUUACUGA